This is a long non-coding RNA of Alligator mississippiensis (American alligator), 2625 nucleotides long. RefSeq lists it as uncharacterized. The record is from RefSeq and is a predicted model, not a curated record. The transcript is spliced from 5 exons. NCBI's taxonomy places the organism in Eukaryota, Metazoa, Chordata, Crocodylia, Alligatoridae.
AGGGUGUGCCGCUGCAGGGACCGCCGCCGCCACUGCUGCGGGGGCCGGGGUGGGCUGUGCCACCUCCCCACUGGGCCCAGGAAGGCUAUGCCGCCGCUGCCACUGGGGCUGGGGCCAGGGCCGGCUGCGCGGCCUCCCCGCUGGGCCUGGGCAGGCCGGGCUGCACCACUGCCGCCGUGGGGGCCGGGGCCAGGGCCAGGGCAAGUCGGGCUGCGCUGCUGCUGCGGGAGCCGGGGCUGGGGCAGGCUGCACUGCCUUCCUGCUGGGCCUGGGCAGGCCGGGCUGCGCCGCUGCUGCCGGGGUGGGCCGGGCUGCGCUGCCUCCCCGUGUAUACGCCGCUGCGGGGAAUACACGGGUGCAGAGUAUACACGGACUUAUUUACAAAAAUACAAUUUUCCGCGGGUUAUACGUGGAUGCGGCUUAUACCCAUGGGCGGGAUAUAUGCGUGAAAAUAUGGUAAUCUCAGGGCUAUUUGUUUCCUGGUUUGCUUGAAUUGAAAACUGUGACGGACUAAGGCUAUAGCUUCGCUUAAGUAGGUCAUUCAUUUGUCUCUGUUUUACUGACAAAUUGUUGGUGUUGAUGGUGUUAAUUGCCAAUAAGUAAUCAGGGAGGACCUGUGACAACAUGCUACCUCGUUGGGUCAGAGAAGAGAUUAAAUGAUUUGUUCAAGAAGUGAUGAGACACAAAACAACCAAAGUCCCAGAGAUUCUAAUUAAGCAUCUUCACCACAGAACCACCCUUUCUUCUCCAGUUACUAAGUUGAGCUGACUUCACAAGAAUGCCCUAAACAGUCACGUGGUGAUGUUGUGAUCUGUAUUGCAUCUUAGAAGUGGGAAAGGUGAAUGCUCCCUAUGCUGUACAAGACAUGAAAGAUACUCUGCAAUGACCAGUGCUGCAGAACAUGGCUAAAACUGAUUUUAUCAAGGACAGGUAACUUGAGUUCAGAGUAAUGCUACAUGUUCUGGCUUUUAAAUCAGAGGUCCUGCCUCCUUUUGCUCUACAUCAGGGGUUUUCAACCUUUUUUGGUUUACAGAAGUUGGACAAACUUGCUGCUGUCUGUACAAGUACUAUACCCUGCUGAAAUGGUAUGGAUUCACCGCUGGAGUGGCAUAGUGGCAGCGUACCAGCUGGCAUACAGUACUUACAGCCAGAUAAAAAGGACAUUUUGAUCACAGAUUCUAAGGCAAACUUUUAGAAUUACAGAAAGUGCUAUCAGUUGUAAUUGGGUAUCACAGUAGUUUAACAAGAGAAGUUUUGCAGCAAAGAGUUUUUAUCAACCUGCUUUGAAGACAGUUCAGACUGUAGACAGGAAUGAAAAGCAUUAUACACUAGGGCUGUAACGAAACAGGCCAUUUUUGAUUCAGAUUCGGCCUGAAUCGGGGACAAUGAUUCGAUUCGUUGAUUCAGAUCACUGUCCCCAACUCGAUUCAGCCUAAUACAAAUCUGAAGAUUCGAUGCUGAUUUGGAGAAUCAGCGAUUCGGCCAUAGACGCAGCUUUAAAUGUUUUUCUGCAUACCUUGAGGUAUCAGGCGCAGUUCGUGAAUGCUGCCAUGGUGGGAUGGAUGGAGCAUCCCACAGGAGCAUGUGGGGGCUCUGCGUGCUUGGCAGCAAAUCUGGAAGUGGACUGGCUGCAGGGGGACCUCGGGUACCCCUCCAGAUCCAGGAGGCUCCAGUUGCCCUGCGCAUUCCCCGAUGGACCCAGAAGCGGACCAGAAAUGCUGAGCGCACUGGGGAGCCCCCAUGCUCCUGUGGGAUGUUCCAUCUGCCCCAUCAUCUCAGCAUUCACAAGCUGCCUGGUACCUUGAGGUAUGUAGAAAAACAUUUAAAGCUGUGUCUAUGUCUGAAUUAUCAACUAUUUCCAAAUCACUCCGAAUUGAUUCGGAGAGAUUACAGGGUCUACUGAUUUGAUUCAGAGAUUCAGCCACCGAAUCGCGCCGAAUCUCUGCCAAAUAAAAUCGGGGACUGAAGCUUCGCACAGCCCUACUACACACCUUAAUUAAAAGUUGUAGAAAAAUGCUGUGUAACAUUUAAAAAGCAUGCAGUCCUAUAACUGAAAAUCUGUAGCAAAAUGCACACAAUGACAAAGAUUUAAAAUUUCACAUGCCACCUCAGUGCUGUCAGGUAUAGCCUUCUUCAUGUACCAGCAUGCCAUCUUAACUUUUAUAUUUCAAAUAUAAAAUAUAUAUGUUAUAUAGUAUAAUGACUUGGAUCAAAACUCGAGCUCUGCCAGUUGAGAUGCUUGUUUUAGGAAGAACUUCCUUUUUAAGUCGCAGGAAAAAACAAAUCAAAAUAAACACCUAGUUAUACCAAAUACCAAAAUGUAAGACAAGUAUUCCUAUAUUCAGGGUUUCUGAACUCGGAUACAAGACUAAUGUUUCUCAAACUAUUGAUACCUGGGGCACACUUUUUUUCUGGAUUAAAAUUGGUGACACACUUCACUCUUAAGCCUGAAAAAGAGUGUGUGUGUGUGAGAGAGAGAGAUUUGGAUGUAUAAAAAUAUUUGAAAAAUGUAUGUAUUUUUCAUAAUAUGUAACAGAUUUCAUUCACCUGCCAGAGUAAAUCAUCCCAGUGCUGCAAUGCACUCUUUUUUUUUUUUUUUUAAGACACCAAAUAAAUCUUUCUUUA